Molecule: long non-coding RNA, 3123 nt
Filed under: Amborella trichopoda
Lineage: Eukaryota; Viridiplantae; Streptophyta; Magnoliopsida; Amborellales; Amborellaceae
Description: long non-coding RNA (ATRI_LNC004803)
Source: RNAcentral
GGCAAUAGUCGAGAUAGAGAGAGAAAACUAGUUACAGGUGAGAAAGCCACUUUAGAGAGAGAAAAAGAGAGUGGGCAACCAGGCCAUCAAAGAGAAUUUGUAGAGAGAAAGAAAGAGAGCGUGAACCGGCCCGUUGAAAACUGGUUGAUUUUGUUAAAUAAAGUUUUUUUACGUAUUUUCAAGAACUCGUUGUUGCAUCAUGGGCAUGGAGAGGAAGGAAUGUUCCGAUCGUCUUCCAGAUGAAAUGGUCGCUGAGAUCAUGGCAAAAUCUGAGUCGUUUGAGGGACUCAAGGUGUGAAGAAUAGGUGAGUUUUUUCUCUCUAAAUUUUUUAUGUAAAUCUUGUAUAUUUUUCCUUUCCGCCUUCCUCCGGCUGAAUUCGUUCGUUGAGUAGUUGUAUGAUUUUUAUUCUUGUUUUUAGGUGUAAGGGGUUAAGAACCUCUCGAAAGAUCCUUUGGUUAUGCAACGUUGUUUCAAGAGAGCUAAUUCUUGAAAGUUUAUGGCAUAAAAACCAGACAAAUCCUACGUCUUACAUCAAACGAUAUGUAGAUACAGGAAAUCCUGAAGCUCAAUACCGAAUGGUAAUCUCUCUCCCUAAAUUUCACAUAAAAAAUUUUUUGGUUUAGAUUCAUCAUUUAGUUUGAGGUUUCAUGGUUUAUUUCAUGGUUCAAGGUAUAGUCUCAUGCUCUAGUUAAAUUUAGUUUUUCCAUGGUUCUUGAUUUAGAUGCAUGGUCGAUCUUUAUUUGGUUUUUUCAUGCUUCUUGGUUUAGAUUCAUGGUUCCUUUUGUUUUAGUUUUGAGUUUCAUGGUUUAUUUCAUGCUUCUUAGUAUAUUUCGAGGUUCUUGGUUUGGUUUGGUUUGCUCUCAUAAUGCUAUACCUCUCCUGGAUUUCACAUGAAACAAUAGUCGUUAACUGCAGUUAUUUCCAUAACUCUAUGUUGAGUUGCUUUUUAAUAUUUAUCCAAAAAAAGAAAGUUUUUUUUUCAAAUUAAAAAGAAAAAAAAAAAAAAGGGUACCAUAUUACAAUAUAAAACCCAUGGUCACAAAUUCGUCACUUCUCUCUCUCCUUGUGAAUCCUAUCUCUUUAUAUGAUUUGGAUAAAUCCUCUCUCUCUCCUCGUGCGUAAGGUUUUUUUUUUUUUCGGCUAGAAACCCAAGCUCGUAGGUUUGCCUUGAGAAAUAGCAUUAUUUACGUUUAGGGUGUAUAGAUUAUAUCCACCAUCCCUUCUAAUCAAUGAUGGUGGAGAUGAGUUGUCGUGCAUCAAUCUUUCUGAUUGUCAUGCAUCAUUGUUUUUAAACUCUGGCUCAGGCCUCUGACUUGACUUUGGUCCGACCAUGAGUAACCCGGUCUCGAGUAAUCCACCGGGAUAAAAAUCCAUAAAAAAAAAAUUUAAAGAAAAAAAAAAUAUUAGAAAUAAAAUAAAAAUUGGUACAAAUAAAAUAAAACAAAAAACAAUAUCAAAAGUUAAAUAAUAAAAAAUAAAAAAUAUAUAUUAAGAAAAAUAAGUUUACGGAUACACACAUUUCAAACAAACCAAAAAAAAAAGAAAAAGAAAAUAUAAACAAUCAAAGUAAGGUGCACCUCCAAAUUUUAUCGUAAUAUAUAAUUUUGGUGUCAAAAAAUCUUUGGAUGGCCUAUUAAUCCAUUUUCAACUCUUUAAACUUUAAAAAUAGUUCAAAUCAAGCAGAUCUAUAAACACAUGAAAAUCUUGAAAAUAGACGAUCCAAAUAAUGUGUUGUAAGAUACACACUUUCUAGGCCUUGAUAUCUUUUCUUGUUUUCUUAUUUAUAUAUCUCGAUGACAUGAUGAUCAAUUAGAGAAUUUUUCAACAUCAAAACAAGCUUUUUCAAUGAAAUUUUUAAUUUGCAAGUUAAUUCUAUAUUUUAAAGUUGUAACUUUAUAAAAACAUCGAAAUUGCAUAUAUAAUUGCUUUACAUUUAUCCUCACAAAUAAUUUAUUUGUCUAUUUUAUUUUUAAAUAUGCCCUAAUUGUAUCCAGCUACUCAGAUUAGGUAGGGCCAAGUAACUCGGUUAAACGCGGAAACGCAUAUGCAUGUCUGACUCUGGCGAGUUAGACGAGUAACGAGUCCCGAUUUUGCAACAUGAAUAAGAAAAUAAAAUCCUUUGCGCCAUGAGGAUUGAAGGUCAACCAUAGUCCUUAUGACUCAGGAAAUUCAUGAUCAAUGGUAUACAUCAUAACCUUCAUAGUAGAGACAGAGACAGGGUGUGAUUCACCAUAAGGGUUGUGUCUUAUUGAUGGAUCACUCUCUCUUACCCGUCCGAUAAUUGAAUGCACGGUGAUAAAAUUAUAACUAGAUUUUUUUUUGGUGAAUUACUUUUACAACAGUAUAGAGUUCUUUUUCGGUGAAUUACCUUUAUGACAAUAUGUGUACAAUAUUGUUGAAUUAAAAUGAAGAUGGAAUUAUUGGUGAAUUAUUUUUACAACAGUAUGAGUACAAGAUUGUUGAAUCAAAAUGAAGAUGGAAUUACAAUAUUGUUGUACUACAAUGAAAAUGCAAGUGGCCUUUAAGGUAUUUCUAGUUUUUACCUUUGAGUAAAAGUCAUUGGACGAAUAAGUUUACGAGUUGAACUCAUCUAACAAAACUUCAUAUUUAUAUUUAUGAAUUGCUUGUUUUUAUUCUAAAUACAUUUCUUAAAUAUUCCUCAAAAGCUAAAAGAAAUGUAUAUUUCUGUGUUUUUGUAGUAGAAGAUUUUUAGCUUAAAUAUUCCUCAAAAGCUAAAAGAAAUGUAUAUUUCUGUGUUUUUGUAGUGGAAGAUUUUUAGCUCCAAGAAAAAGGAUGAAUGUGAGCUAUAGCUGAUGAAAGCAAUGAAAAUGGGUCACCCAGAAUCUGCUUAUGCAUCGGCCUCGAUCUUGUGAGGGAAAAUUUUUGGAAGGUACACAAUCCAUGGAAAAGAUUGAGCUCUCCCUUUCAUUCCAUGGAUCGAGCUCUCUCUUUCAUUUUGUCUAAGUAGCACCAAGUCCAUUCUUAAAAUGAUAUGGGUCCACAAUAAGCUGCCAUUCAAACCAGCAAAAUGCAACAAUAAGAAGUGCACAAAUCCGAGACUCAUGGGAUGGGAUCAAGUAGUGGAUGGAUGUUGCUCUUCUAAAUGCAAGUGGAUGUGGGAG